This 433-nucleotide ribosomal RNA is filed under the name uncultured bacterium. RNAcentral's name for it is "partial 16S ribosomal RNA". It matches the Rfam family "Bacterial small subunit ribosomal RNA", at positions 29 to 507 of the family's 1533-position model. The record is from RNAcentral.
AACGAACGCUGGCGGCAUGCCUAACACAUGCAAGUCGAACGAGCCCUUCGGGUCUAGUGGCUCACGGGUGCGUCACGCGUGGGAACCUGCCCUUAGGUUCGGAAUAACUCUCCGACUGGGGUGCUAAUACCGGAUAAUGUCUUCUGACCAAAGAUUUAUCGCCUUUGGAUGGGCCCGCGUUGGAUUAGCUGGUUGGUAGGGUAAAAGCCUACGAAGGCGACGAUGCAUAGCUGGUCUGAGAGGAUGAUCAGCGACACUGGGACUGAGACACGGCCGAGAAUCCUACGGGAGGCAGCAGAGGGGAAUAUUGGAAAAUGGGGGAAAGCCUGAUGCAGCAAUGCCGGGUGAGUGAUGAAGGCAUUAGGGUUGUAAAGCGCUUGUAACCGGGAUGAUAAUGACAGUACCGGGAGAAUAAGCUCCGGCUAACUCCGUG